UGGGCGUCGAGCGGCGGACGGGUGAGUAAUGCCUAGGAAAUUGCCUUGAUGUGGGGGAUAACCAUUGGAAACGAUGGCUAAUACCGCAUAAUGCCUACGGGCCAAAGAGGGGGAUCUUCGGACCUCUCGCGUCAAGAUAUGCCUAGGUGGGAUUAGCUAGUUGGUGAGGUAAUGGCUCACCAAGGCGACGAUCCCUAGCUGGUCUGAGAGGAUGAUCAGCCACACUGGAACUGAGACACGGUCCAGACUCCUACGGGAGGCAGCAGUGGGGAAUAUUGCACAAUGGGCGAAAGCCUGAUGCAGCCAUGCCGCGUGUAUGAAGAAGGCCUUCGGGUUGUAAAGUACUUUCAGUUGUGAGGAAGGGGGUAACGUUAAUAGCGUUAUCUCUUGACGUUAGCAACAGAAGAAGCACCGGCUAACUCCGUGCCAGCAGCCGCGGUAAUACGGAGGGUGCGAGCGUUAAUCGGAAUUACUGGGCGUAAAGCGCAUGCAGGUGGUUCAUUAAGUCAGAUGUGAAAGCCCGGGGCUCAACCUCGGAACUGCAUUUGAAACUGGUGAACUAGAGUGCUGUAGAGGGGGGUAGAAUUUCAGGUGUAGCGGUG
This 602-nucleotide ribosomal RNA is filed under the name bacterium W15C15_F. RNAcentral describes it as "bacterial SSU rRNA". It matches the Rfam family "Bacterial small subunit ribosomal RNA", at positions 85 to 683 of the family's 1533-position model. The record is from RNAcentral.